AGCAGCCGCGGUAAUUCCAGCUCCAAUAGCGUAUAUUAAAGUUGUUGCAGUUAAAAAGCUCGUAGUUGAAUUUCGGGGUCAAUAAGUUGGUCAUGCCAAUGGUAUGCACUGGCUUUAUUGAUUCCUACCUCUUGACGAACUGUGAUGCCAUUAAUUUGGUGUUGCAAGGAAUCAGGACUGUUACCUUGAAAAAUUAGAGUGUUUAAAGCAAGCUUACGCUUGAAUACAUUAGCAUGGAAUAAUGAAAUAGGACGUUUGAUCCUAUUUUGUUGGUUUCUAGGAUCGACGUAAUGAUUAAUAGGGAUAGUUGGGGCAUUAGUAUUCAAUUGUCAGAGGUGAAAUUCUUGGAUUUAUUGAAGACUAACUACUGCGAAAGCAUUUGCCAAGGAUGUUUUCAUUAAUCAAGAACGAAAGUUAGGGGAUCGAAGACGAUCAGAUACCGUCGUAGUC
RNAcentral lists this ribosomal RNA (450 nucleotides) under uncultured Glomeromycotina. Its description in RNAcentral is "SSU rRNA". It matches the Rfam family "Eukaryotic small subunit ribosomal RNA", at positions 569 to 1025 of the family's 1831-position model. Lineage: Eukaryota; Fungi; Glomeromycota. The record is from RNAcentral.